CAUAGUUUCAAUUCAAAAUACUUCGCAACUUAUUCAUAAGUUUAACAUUUCGAAAAACCAAAAGAUAUUGGUACUGCAUGACAGCAACAAAGACAAAUGGCCGGAACUUGCUCCUCUGAAAUCAUCGAACUGGUAUCCAAUGGUAUCCAAUAUCCAACAGAAUAUUGUUGUUAUAAUAUUUUGAAUUUAAAAAGCGUUAUAAACUGGACCCGCUUCACCGCGUGACUGGAUAAUUAAUUAAGCCACUGACAGUAAAGAAGAUACACGUACAGUACAGGGAAAGAAUAGUCAAACCAAAUUGCUAUACGGCGGUACACCUAGUAAUCCUUGGCUGUUGAAUUCAAAUAUAUCCAGUGUUUUCUAACUUUGAUGGUAAACAUGACGGUCCCGAAAGCAGCAUUUUUUCUAGUGUUUCUGAUUGUUGUCGUCAAUGCACGAUAUCGCCUUUCAAACAACGCGGACAUGUUUGCAGGUGAAGGAGAAAGCACAAAGUGUUGGUGUCAGGGUGGCAAAGUUAGUGGAAUUUGUUACAGUAGCGCCUGUCCGCCAGGACUUACCGAAUGUGAAUUUUGCGAUGGUGUUGGGGUUUGCUGUUCUUGAUCUUACAAACAGUGUCUUGUUUGCAUUUUUGUUAACCUCUGAAGUGUUUGAUGACCAUAAAUGUAGUUUAUUGAUAUAUUCACGUUUCGAUUUCUAAUAAAAGAAAGAAAUCAAA
Long non-coding RNA from Xenia sp. Carnegie-2017, 715 nucleotides. RefSeq lists it as uncharacterized. Lineage: Eukaryota; Metazoa; Cnidaria; Anthozoa; Malacalcyonacea; Xeniidae. The record is from RefSeq and is a predicted model, not a curated record. The transcript has 2 exons.